Molecule: long non-coding RNA, 1948 nt
Organism: Ctenopharyngodon idella (grass carp)
Lineage: Eukaryota; Metazoa; Chordata; Actinopteri; Cypriniformes; Xenocyprididae
Exons: 3
Source: RefSeq, a predicted model, not a curated record
AGGGUGAGCAAAAACGCUCAGUUUUUUUUUGUGUGUGUGUGUCCCUUUAAAUGCAAAUGAGCUGCUGUGCUCAAAAGGGGCCGGAGUUUCAGGAGCUCAUGUUAGCACUUAGCAGCGCCUCACAUUACCUCAUGCAGACUCACUGAAAAUGUAAGAAACUGUUCAGCCUUUUAUGUUCAAAACGGAGCUGGACAAGAGACUCAAGAAGAAGUGACAUUUUGAAUGCAACAGGAUGCUUCUGAACGGCUGAGAUCAGGUGAAUGGUCACUCAGAGUUGCUUUACUGGGCCUGGGACGAGACAAGACUGGGAAAAACAGCACCAACAGGCUGAUCAGCAUACAGUGCAUCGAUGUUGCAUGAGAAGUCAACAGGAUGAGAUAUGCAACUCUGCUGAUUACAUAGCUCCGCCCCGCAAUAUGUGCACAACGUGAGUGACACAACAGCCAAUGGAUACAGUGAUUUUCUUAGAGGACAGAGGACUGUCCAAACACAUAAAAACUCAUUGUCUGCCUGCAGGGCCUCUACUUGUCCAGUCAGGUUUGGUUUUCAGAGAAAAGUGGAAGUGGUGGAAGAGAGGUUCUUUGGAUUUAUCAGCACCCAUGGAUGCACCCAGCUUUGCUUUUCUUACUGAUUGGUUAGACUCUGGCUGUAUCUAAGACCAGGGUUUUAAAAAAAAAUCCUCAACCAAUAAAGGGAAAUUGCAUUUUCUUAUAUUGUACAGAUGCACUGGUGCAAAUUUUAGCUGAUGCAUGCAUGUUUUAAAGGACUAUAAUUCAGCUUUAGAUUUUCAACCAUCCCAAACCCAGUAAGGCACCUCAAAUUUAAUAUUUAAAAUUUAAAGUCAUUUAUAAUGUAAUCACAGUCAUUUUACCCAGUAACACUUUAUAAUAAGGUUUAGGUAAUUAGGAAUCAAGAAUUAAUAAUUAAAAAUACUUUUACAGCAUUUAUUAUUCUUGGUCAGUGUUCAUUUUACAUAUACAUUUUUAACUUAAUUUUACUUUUUGUUAUAUAAAUAAUCAGUAGUAGUGUGUUAUGAACAAAUAUAAAUUAACAGUGAACAAAUAAAGUGCAAAUGUUACCAAUAGAAUGAAACCAUCAUCAUAUGUGUAUGUGUGUGUAUGUGUGUGUGUGUGUAUAUAUUACUUAUUUAUUUAUUUAUUUAUUUUUUACCAGAUAAUUUAAGGUUCUGCAGUGAGGUCACAGUUAUUUCCGGCAGCAGAGAUUAAAUGAUGAGUUUUCUCAUAGUGUGACUUGGUUGAGGAUUAGAGAGACUUUGGGACAAAUGUCAGAAGACUCAGACUCAGCUAUCAGUAUCCACCUGGCUCCAUCAUCACUAACACUCAUGCUGUGCUCCAGUGUGCCACUUUUAUUAAAGACUUAUGAUAGAUUGGAUUGGUUAAUACUGGGAAUUGAGAUCUGUAGCAGAGUAAACAAGACACUGUAAACCUGUGUAGCCAGUGUGGUAACAGGAGGUGUGCAAACCACUUCCUGACUCAGCUGUAAAUGAAUGCAUUUUAAUGGCACACCCAUACAGAUGAAACAUGUAUGUCAUUAGUAACUGAAUAUGAAUAUAGAAUAGGUUGCUAGAUUAUAAGUAAGUAUUAUAUAGCGUCUACAUACAGUAAAUUUUGCAGUGAACUAAUAGUAUUGUAUAAAUUGUAAAUAGAAUGUGACAGUGUGCGUGUUUUGCUGUGUUUGAGCAUGUGAUCAUAAAAUAAAUCAAUACAAUAUGACAUAUCCACUGCUUACUUUUUUUUUUUUUAAUGUAGCAUAAUAAGAGAUUAACAAUUCUCAGAAAAUUUCAACUAGAUCAGCCCAAAUGUUACAUUUGGACCGGUUCAUCCCACUCUUUUUCUCUGAUCUUUUAGUUUGACAUGAACAGGAUGCUGGCCAAACAUGCAAUAACAUAAACAGAUUGUGCAGAUUGAAAAUUGCAGGCAUAUUAAGA